RNAcentral lists this ribosomal RNA (399 nucleotides) under uncultured bacterium. RNAcentral's name for it is "bacterial SSU rRNA". It matches the Rfam family "Bacterial small subunit ribosomal RNA", at positions 355 to 747 of the family's 1533-position model. The record is from RNAcentral.
UGGGGAAUCUUCCGCAAUGGACGAAAGUCUGACGGAGCGACGCCGCGUGAGUGAUGAAGGCCCUUGGGUCGUAAAGCUCUGUCAUCAGGGACGAACGGUCACGUCAGGAAAUGGGCGUGAAUUGACGGUACCUGAGAAGGAAGCCACGGCUAACUACGUGCCAGCAGCCGCGGUAAUACGUAGGUGGCGAGCGUUGUCCGGAAUUAUUGGGCGUAAAGCGCGCGCAGGUGGGAUCUUAAGUCUGUUCUGAAAGUUCGGAGCUUAACUCCGUGAUGGGAUGGAAACUGGGAUUCUUGAGUAUCGGAGAGGAAAGCGGAAUUCCCCGUGUAGCGGUGAAAUGCGUAGAUAUGGGGAGGAACACCAGUGGCGAAGGCGGCUUUCUGGACGAUGUCUGACACU